This 301-nucleotide ribosomal RNA is filed under the name uncultured bacterium. RNAcentral's name for it is "partial 16S ribosomal RNA". It matches the Rfam family "Bacterial small subunit ribosomal RNA", at positions 512 to 808 of the family's 1533-position model. The record is from RNAcentral.
CAGUCCCGCGGUAAUACAGAGGGUGCAAGCGUUAAUCGGAAUUACUGGGCGUAAAGCGCGCGUAGGUGGUUUGUUAAGUUGGAUGUGAAAGCCCCGGGCUCAACCUGGGAACUGCAUCCAAAACUGGCAAGCUAGAGUACGGUAGAGGGUGGUGGAAUUUCCUGUGUAGCGGUGAAAUGCGUAGAUAUAGGAAGGAACACCAGUGGCGAAGGCGACCACCUGGACUGAUACUGACACUGAGGUGCGAAAGCGUGGGGAGCAAACAGGAUUAGAUACCCCAGUAGUCCCUGUCUCUUAUACA